This 253-nucleotide ribosomal RNA is filed under the name uncultured bacterium. RNAcentral's name for it is "partial 16S ribosomal RNA". It matches the Rfam family "Bacterial small subunit ribosomal RNA", at positions 524 to 776 of the family's 1533-position model. The record is from RNAcentral.
UACGGAGGGUGCAAGCGUUAAUCGGAAUUACUGGGCGUAAAGCGGGCGCAGGCGGUUAUGCAAGACAGAGGGGAAAUCCCCGGGCUCAACCUGGGAACUGCCUUUGUGACUGCAUAGCUAGAGUGCGGCAGAGGGGGAUGGAAUUCCGCGUGUAGCAGUGAAAUGCGUAGAUAUGCGGAGGAACACCGAUGGCGAAGGCAAUCCCCUGGGCCUGCACUGACGCUCAUGCACGAAAGCGUGGGGAGCAAACAGG